Molecule: long non-coding RNA, 1358 nt
Organism: Selaginella moellendorffii
Lineage: Eukaryota; Viridiplantae; Streptophyta; Lycopodiopsida; Selaginellales; Selaginellaceae
Exons: 2
Source: RefSeq, a predicted model, not a curated record
UCAAACUUAGGGUACAUCGUUGAUGAAGGGCUAGGGCGGAUGCCGGGAUGUCUUGGGGUUGGGGUUGGGGUCGCGACGCUUCCACUCUGCCCAUUGAUCGGAGCUCCAGGUGCUUCUCUCUCUCCCCUCCCGCAAGGUAAGUUCGUUUAGAUAGGCAAUAAGACAAAAGCGAAGCUGCUUGCAACGAGCUAAGAGGUUCGCGAUUGCAACGCAAAAGGGAGCCAGUGACACAACAAACAACUCAAACAAGUGAAACAACGGAUGGACAACGCUCUGUGAAUACAAACAAAACUAGAUCAACGACACUUAGUUUCAUGUUGCCAGGUUCGCGUGUGUUUCGAUUUGUUCUAAUUUCUUGUCAUGAAGAAGCCAAGUGACAUGUUGGUGUUGCUCAACGACGAUAAGAACUGGAAAACGCCAUGUCACAGCGUGUGCCAAGAAGAAAAAUGCUACUAGAUUGGAGAGAUUUUGUGUCAACGUUUUGGAGAGAUUGUCAGUGCUUUGAGUUAUGUUGUUACUGCGCUCAAGGCAAGACCUGUGAGCUGAGAAACAACUUUUUGGCACCUGCGAUCUUCAGAACUUCAAUCCAGCUGAAGACGUAAAUGACAAUGACAACAGCGAUCAUGAUCCGUAACUCUCGCACCUCUCCACCUCUCAAGGUAAGGGCUUUUCUUUGUGUUAGGAAUAAGCGAGUAAGACAACGAAACAAGAGAGAUUUGCUGGAGACAAGAAAGCGAAGCUGCUUGCAACGAGCUAGGAUCGAAUGAUCAACGAUAAAUGAAAGGCUUGAAUUCGUGUUGAAACUCUCAACGUUUGAAGACAUCAGGUUCGCUCUUUAUUUUCGACGGGUCAAGAAGAUGCUAUGCUCAACGCAAAAGGGAACUAGGGACACAGUCAAGCUAAGAUGAUAUGCUCAUAAAACAGCUCAAACAAGCUAAGUGCAAAACAAGGGUCCAAGGAACCCUCAACGCAAAGGGAAACUUAGCUUCAGGUUUGCAUGUGUUUCAAUUUGUUCUAAUUUCUUGUCAUGAAAAAGACAAUUGACGUGUUGGUGCUGCUCAACCACGAUAAGAACUAAAAAACGCUGUGUUCAAAAAGAAAAAUGCUGCGAGAUUGGAGUGAUUUCUGUCAACGUUUUGGAGAGGCUUUGAGUUAUGUUGUUGCUGUGCUCAACGGAAGACCUGCUGGCUGAGAAACAACGUGAUCUUCAGAACUUCAAUCCAGCUGAAGACGUACAUUGACAAUGGUCCAACCUUAAUGAAAACAACGAUCAUGAAAACUCCCAAGGCAAAGGAAUGUGCAUAGUGUGAAUUUACAAGAAAAGACGCCUGAAUCAACUCAUAUAUUGGUUUGUCUAA